UUUAGGGAAAAAAAAUUACCGUGAAGAUACUGUAAAUAUCCCCCUCCAGGACUUGCUUUGGUGUGGAAGUGAUUCCGCUGUGAGUUGUGUCUUUUGCGUUGUUGCACUCUUCAUCAUAUUCAUCCGCAGGACCUCCAGCUCUAAAGGGUGUGAAGAGGAUACUGACCCACCAGAAAGAGACCCCACUGCUAGAACGAAUAAGAUGUGCUGAAAGCCGGAGCAUAACUUGGCCAUUCCAAGAUUUAACGACAAACUAACUACCCAUCAUUAACACUAAAGGUAUUGAAGCAUGAAGGAGUCUCUUCUCAGUGGGUAUGAAACACACAGAAGUCCAA
This 335-nucleotide long non-coding RNA is filed under the name Pan troglodytes (chimpanzee). Its description in RNAcentral is "long non-coding RNA NONPTRT003345". Lineage: Eukaryota; Metazoa; Chordata; Mammalia; Primates; Hominidae. The record is from RNAcentral.